AGAGUUUGAUCAUGGCUCAGAUUGAACGCUGGCGGCAGUGCUUAACACAUGCAAGUCGAGCGGGGGAAGGUAGCUUGCUACUGGACCUACGGCGGACGGGUGAGUAAUGCUUAGGAAUCUGCCUAUUAGUGGGCGGACAACAUCUCGAAAGGGAUGCUAAUACCGCGAUACGUCCUACGGGAGAAAGCAGGGAUCUUCGGACCUUGCGCUAAUAGAUGAGCCUAAGUCGGAUUAGCUAGUUGUGGGGUAAAGGCCUACCAAGGCGACGAUCUGUAGCGGGUCUGAGAGGAUGAUCCGGCACACUGGGACUGAGACACGGCCAGAAUCCUACGGGAGGCAGCAGUGGGGAAUAUUUGGACAAUGGGGGGAACCUUGAUCCAGCCAUGCCGCGUGUGUGAAAGAAGGCCUUAUGGUU
Molecule: ribosomal RNA, 415 nt
Filed under: uncultured Acinetobacter sp.
Lineage: Bacteria; Pseudomonadati; Pseudomonadota; Gammaproteobacteria; Moraxellales; Moraxellaceae
Description: bacterial SSU rRNA
Rfam family: Bacterial small subunit ribosomal RNA
Source: RNAcentral